CAGGAGACGUGAGAGAAAGUUCUAUCAAAAAUAAAUCUAUUUCAUACUUCCCGAAUAGAAAGUGCUUCUGACAAUAGUGGAAGUGAGUGUGAAGUUCCUUUUUUCUCAACUUCACCCACGAAAAAGAUGUGAAGUGCGAAGAAAAAAAAUUCCACCACAGAAACCGCGCCACCAUUCCCAGUGAUUAUUAUUAUUUCGAACUUUUUUGCCACCCCCAUUUUCCUGGUGGUGAAAUAUAGUUUUCGCAAAGAGUGAGGUCAGGGAGCAAUUGCAAUCUGGGAAAAAGGUGAACUUUCGGUAUAAUUCUUGUAAAUGAAAGUAUGGAAAAGAAAGCUCUCGUCGCUUUUUCUGAGGCGAAUACAAUUUGUUGAAUUGCUGCACGAAAUCCCACGGAAGUUUUUAGUGUUAUAUAUGGUUUAUUAAAGAAAUGCACAAGGAAUAAUCUAUUGUUGGAUGGCGUUAAAAACUGAAAUACGCCACACUGAAAGAAGUAGUAAAUGUUCACAGAGGAUACAUCUAAACUCAAUACGAGAUCAUCAACAGCAGGAAAAGGGAGUUGUUAUCUUCAUUAACCUUUUUUAUGACCUUGUGUCACACCGUCCCCAAUAAGUCCCCUAAUCAAUACGUGAAGUAAUAAUUUGGAUUAUUUUACUAAUGUAAGUGUAUUUUGCAGUGUCUCAGAAUAAAACGGAAGAAUACCGUGCGAUUGAGGAAGUUACAUAUAAUGACAAUGAAUGUCCAUAAUGUCAGAGCUGAUCCUGCAGCGCUUCUUAACAAGCCGUAUAAAUGUCGAUUACUUGGAUUGGAUGACGGUCUUUGAACAUUCCAAAUGGAUGUCGAAUAUCUGGAUUGGAUGACGAAAGCUGACCUCUACCAGUUGUUGCCUGAGGCUUGCAACAUGGCCUGCCGUAUAAGCCUGCGCAAGGCCUUGGCUCAGAGGAGGGAAAGGGCAGGAGUGUGGAAUCCUGCUGUGCGCCCAGAAAUUCCGGAUCCGGUACCGCGCCGUCAACUACCUGUGCCAGGCCAUGCCCCCGUCCCUGUCCUAAGUUCUCUUGGUAUUCAUAAUUUUUAUUUGUAUUUUUAAAAUAUAUUUUCUGUAUUAUAGACGCUCGAGAGCAUCCUGCAAAUGACGUCGGGAGGAAGACAUGUUCUCACUAUGAGGCAUAGAAUCCUUCCGGCGUCAAUGCGUAGGAUGCUGGUCACGUGUGUCGGUAACCAUUUUUUUCAAAAUCGUUACCGAAUCACACCGAGCCACUCCGGGUUUUAUGCCCAGCAGGUGGUUUCGCUGUUUCCUCGUAAAACAAUGACUUUUUAUCACGAGCAGCUACCACGGCAGGCACUGAAGUAUAUUAUAAGUAAUUAAGUAAUGGUAAAUUGGUAACCUCAAAUUGGGAAGGCAUUACCGCCCCAUUGGGCUCACAGCCUUCUCUCUAUUAUAAUCAUUAUUACUAUUCUUCUCUUAGCGGAGAUUCUAGAGAAGUUUUAGUUUUACGGUGGCAAAGUGCCGACCAACCAUAAGUGGUUCUAAACGUCCACCUUUAUAUACAGAGACAGAGCGCAAGACAUUUUCAGUGAAGCGUAUGUUUCAAUUGGAAACAUUCAACAGCAACCAUAUGGGCUGCUUUUUGCCAUUGAAAAGCUUAAUUUUUGCAUUCUGCUGUGUUCAAACCAUUUGCAAGCGGUGGGAUUUGAACACACGACUGUCGCACUGUGAGUCAAGCACGCUAACCACUGAGCCACACCGCCCUGAUGGUGAAUAAGCUUUUUGUCUAGCUGAGAUUCACAUCGCAGCUAAUAUCAGCUGAAAUACAGCUGAAACAUUGCUAAAAAAUCAAGCCUCGCAAAAACAACUAUAAUGGACUCUGUCAGGAAGUCUUAACAUGACGAAAUGAGACGAAAAAAGGGAGGGGAGACAUUUUUUCGCGUCUAUCAUUCGGUGUGUUCGUCGUGACAAACGGGCUUGUGGCGCCUAAACGGUAAAAGAUAUCGACACGCGGUUUACGCCAAAGGUUAAAAGUAUGCAUUGCUAACGAACAUUUUUUUGAGGAAAGGUGUCAUAAAAUGCCAUCUCCUACUCAAACAUCAUAAUUUGGUAGAAAUCACCGCUAGGGGCACUAAAGUGAAAAAAAAAUGAUUUUCGAAAUUCCGCGAGAGAACAUUAUUCCACCAAAAUUCGAUUUUUCUACAAAACACUCUCGCACCUAAAGAUGUUCGAGUGGGAAAAAAUGCCAUGGUAAAAAAAUAUCGACCGACAGACGGACCAACCGUCGGAUGAAACUCAAAAAAUUGAUCCCCCUUUUUACCGUCAGAUUUCGUCAUAAUUAGCCGCCUAGAAAAAACCGCUUUGCGUAAAAAAAAAUCUUUGAACGGAAUAUAAUUUGGAAUAGUUUUGGUAAUGUUCAGAUUCACACUGUACAUAUUCAAAACAAUCUUAAGACAUUCAGGACUCAAAUGUUUGCUUUCUCUAUUUAAUUUAACACCAAAGAGAACAUCCACGAGGCUGGAAAGGACAUAGUUAGUGGAAAAGCAUAGGGAAAAUUUGUGGGAAUUGAUUUGCGAGUGAAAAUACAUUUGAGGUAAUUUUAAAUGUCAACACUCAACACAUUUUUUAUUGAAUUACAAUCCAACGUUGAAAGAUAAACAAAUUCCAGUGAUAUUCCAUUGAUUUUGCUAUUUUGGUAUUCAAAGCAGCAAGAUAUGAAAAUUCAACGUGCAAUGCU
This is a long non-coding RNA of Phlebotomus argentipes, 2720 nucleotides long. RefSeq lists it as uncharacterized. Lineage: Eukaryota; Metazoa; Arthropoda; Insecta; Diptera; Psychodidae. The record is from RefSeq and is a predicted model, not a curated record. The transcript is spliced from 4 exons.